AAAGGUAGCGUAAUCACUUGUUUUUUAAAUAAAGACUAGAAUGAAUGGCAUCACGAGAACUAAACUGUCUCCCCCCUCUAAUCAGUGAAACUGAUUUCCCCGUGCAGAAGCGGGGAUACAACCAUAAGACGAGAAGACCCUGUGGAGCUUAAAAUUUAAAAUCAACUGCUAACCUACCCAAACACUAACGCAGCAAUGAUUAAGGUUUUCAGCUGGGGCGGCUGCGGAGUAAAGACUACCCUCCGCGAAAAAUUAUACUAAGAAUUACCACUCUAAGUAUUAAUAAAUUUAACUUAUUUGAUCCAAUUUUUGAUCAACGGACCAAGUUACCCCAGGGAUAACAGCGCAAUCCACUUUUAGAGUCCCUAUCGACAAGUGGGCUUACGACCUCGAUGUUGGAUCAGGGCACCCAAGUGGUGCAGCCAUUACUAAAGGUUCGUUUGUUCAACGAUUAAAGCCCUACGUGAUCUGAGU
This is a ribosomal RNA of 474 nucleotides. It matches the Rfam family "Bacterial large subunit ribosomal RNA", at positions 1952 to 2610 of the family's 2925-position model.